AGCGAACGCUGGCGGCAGGCCUAAUACAUGCAAGUCGAGCGCACCUUCGGGUGAGCGGCGGACGGGUGAGUAACGCGUGGGAACGUGCCCUUUGGUACGGAACAACUGAGGGAAACUUCAGCUAAUACCGUAUGUGCCCUUCGGGGGAAAGAUUUAUCGCCAUUGGAGCGGCCCGCGUUGGAUUAGGUAGUUGGUGAGGUAAAGGCUCACCAAGCCUACGAUCCAUAGCUGGUCUGAGAGGAUGAUCAGCCACACUGGGACUGAGACACGGCCCAGACUCCUACGGGAGGCAGCAGUAGGGAAUCUUGCGCAAUGGGCGAAAAGCCUGACGCAGCCAUGCCGCGUGAAUGAUGAAGGUCUUAGGAUUGUAAAAUUCUUUC
This 380-nucleotide ribosomal RNA is filed under the name uncultured bacterium. RNAcentral's name for it is "bacterial SSU rRNA". It matches the Rfam family "Bacterial small subunit ribosomal RNA", at positions 29 to 437 of the family's 1533-position model. The record is from RNAcentral.